AGGGGUUUAGCAUAGGGGUUAGAGCAGUUGACUGCAGAUCAAGAGGUCCUCAGUUCAAAUCUGGCUGCCCCCU
RNAcentral lists this transfer RNA (73 nucleotides) under Pleuronectes platessa (European plaice). It matches the Rfam family "tRNA". From Rfam's summary of the family: Transfer RNA (tRNA) molecules are approximately 80 nucleotides in length. Their secondary structure includes four short double-helical elements and three loops (D, anti-codon, and T loops). Further hydrogen bonds mediate the characteristic L-shaped molecular structure. tRNAs have two regions of fundamental functional importance: the anti-codon, which is responsible for specific mRNA codon recognition, and the 3' end, to which the tRNAs corresponding amino acid is attached (by aminoacyl-tRNA synthetases). tRNAs cope with the degeneracy of the genetic code in two manners: having more than one tRNA (with a specific anti-codon) for a particular amino acid; and 'wobble' base-pairing, i.e. permitting non-standard base-pairing at the 3rd anti-codon position. The record is from Rfam by way of RNAcentral. Lineage: Eukaryota; Metazoa; Chordata; Actinopteri; Pleuronectiformes; Pleuronectidae.